This 430-nucleotide ribosomal RNA is filed under the name uncultured bacterium. Its description in RNAcentral is "bacterial SSU rRNA". It matches the Rfam family "Bacterial small subunit ribosomal RNA", at positions 9 to 441 of the family's 1533-position model. The record is from RNAcentral.
GAGUUUGAUCUUGGCUCAGAUUGAACGCUGGCGGCAGGCCUAACACAUGCAAGUCGAGCGGUAGAGAGAAGCUUGCUUCUCUUGAGAGCGGCGGACGGGUGAGUAAUGCCUAGGAAUCUGCCUGGUAGUGGGGGAUAACGCUCGGAAACGGACGCUAAUACCGCAUACGUCCUACGGGAGAAAGCAGGGGACCUUCGGGCCUUGCGCUAUCAGAUGAGCCUAGGUCGGAUUAGCUAGUUGGUGAGGUAAUGGCUCACCAAGGCGACGAUCCGUAACUGGUCUGAGAGGAUGAUCAGUCACACUGGAACUGAGACACGGUCCAGACUCCUACGGGAGGCAGCAGUGGGGAAUAUUGGACAAUGGGCGAAAGCCUGAUCCAGCCAUGCCGCGUGUGUGAAGAAGGUCUUCGGAUUGUAAAGCACUUUAAGUU